RNAcentral lists this ribosomal RNA (440 nucleotides) under uncultured yeast. Its description in RNAcentral is "partial large subunit ribosomal RNA". It matches the Rfam family "Eukaryotic large subunit ribosomal RNA", at positions 181 to 656 of the family's 3401-position model. Lineage: Eukaryota; Fungi. The record is from RNAcentral.
GCAAGUCCCUUGGAAGAGGGCGCCGGAGAGGGUGAGAGCCCCGUGGCGAGGCGCGGUGUGUUGUGCGAUUUGCGUUCGAAGAGUCGGGCUGUUUGAGAUCGCAGCCCAAAGCGGGAGGUAAAUUUCUUCCAAAGCUAAGUAUGGGCGGGAGACCGAUAGUGGAAAAGUAGAGCGAUCGAAAGAUGAAAAGAACUUUGAAAAGAGAGUGAAAAGGACCUGAAAUUGUUGAAAGGGAAGAGAUUCGCGGCUGUGGGAACGGUGCGGCGUGGCGAACAACGCGACGCGGCACGGUCUGCAUGGCUUGCCGGCGCCGGAGACGGUCCGCGGAACAAGGUAGGCAUCUCUGCGGAGUGCUGUUAUAGAUCUGGGGACGGUGCGGGUGCGCGGGGAGCGAGGAGGUUAGGAGAUGCAGGCGAAAUGGCGCGAAUCAUCCCGUCUUG